CUAAAUUAACUGUUACAGAGGACUACUAUUAUUAUUAGCAAUAAUAAGACUUAAUUGUGGUGUUCUAGUCAAAGAAUAGUUUACCAAAGUAAGAGAAUUACAACUCGAGAAGAAUUUGACAAUUAAUAUUAAUGAUAAUAAUAUAAGAUCUAGUUUAAAUAGUUUGGUAAAUUAUCUACAUUCCCCCGUGCUUAAAUCUUAAAAUUUUAUCCUAGUCAAAUCUCUGUCCCUAGAAUACAUGGGACAACUAGGGACCGUUUGGUUCCUUGCAGUUGUAACUGCACAAUAAUUAUAACUAUAUAUAAAUACAAAUUUAAUAUUUAAUUUGAUGUAUUUAACUCUAACGGCUGCAGAAGAAGAUUCAACUGCAGCAGUUGAAACUACGCUCAAAUUGUCCGUAAUUUCAACUGCAGAGUCAGAAAAAGUAAUCUUUAACAAAAGGUAAAAGAUAAGCUUACCUCCUUAAUUAUUUUUUAAACAAAAAAUAAAUUUUCAUCUAUACUAAUCUAUGAAUCCCCAAUAUCUUGCUGACAUGGCAUUACCUCCUUCUUUCAAAACUCCUUCCUUUCAUCUCCCAACCUCCAAAACCUCUCAUCUUCCAAAACCGUUCCCUCCUCAUCUCCCAAUAAAACCACAAUUAAAUGCAUAUAAUUGCACCAAAACUAUUCCCUCUCAUCUCCCAAACUCCAAAACUCCUCAUCUUCCAAAACCGUUUCCUCCUCAUCUUCUAAUAAAACCACAAUUGAAUGCAUGUACUUCAACAAAAUUUUGUAGAGUUAUUGACCUUCCACCUGUUGAAUUGAGAGCGCAAUAGAAUAGAAGGUUCGAUUCCUUAUAGCUCUACUUCUAGCAGUAGUUUCUUUUUUCAUUUUUCACAUUUAAUUUGUUGUUCGCUUGGAGCUUAGGAAAGCAUUUUUGGGUGUUUUUUUUUUUAUUUUUGGCAUAUUUUAUGUUUUUUUUAAUUCGUUCUAAUUUCUCGAAAAGUUCCCUUUUGUUUCAGAAAGAUGAUUUUUUUUUGUCUUGAAUGUUUAGAAUAUUUUUCCCAAUAUUAUUAUGACGAUUUUUUCUCCCUUUUUUGAGAAGCUUAUUCAAGGGGCUUUUUAUUGUUGGUUUUAUUGUUGGUUUCUAUAUUUUUCCUCUUAAAUAUAAACCGACACUAAUAUGACACUGAUAAUAUUGGAUUAUUAUCAUAGUGUAUUAUACAAUAAUUAAAAUAUCGCGUCGAUGUAGUGUGUGUGUGUGUAUAUAUAUAUAUAUAUAUAUAUAUAAAUAUACUCUUCAUCUUAAUUACAAGACUCCUAUCAUCAUUUUUUAAAGAGUAUUCAUUUUCAGCCAUUUAUUUUUGUGUCCACUCGAUGGAUAAGAGAACAAUAUUGAAAAUAUAUGAAAUUUGAUUUCUAAACACUUCAAGUGGUAUAGAUCAUGCUCAGCGGNAGCCAUAUGAAAGGUCAUAUGUAUUGCAUGCCUAGCAUUCCUCUAUUGUGAAGGGUAAAUUGCAUGUUUGGCCCACCUUUUUUUUUUUUUUCCAAAUUUUAAUUUAUUAUAAUUUUUAAUUUGAACUUUUUAAAAUUAUUAUAAGUAACUCCUAUAAUUCAAUUUAGUUUAUUAAAUUUUAAUGCAUCAUUAAUAUAAAAAUAAUAUAAUAUUUUAAUUAUUUGUGCAUUAUUAAUUACAACACAACUAUAUCACUUUUACAUUAUCGAUAUAUCAAUAUUUAAUAAACUAAAUUGAGUUAUAAAAUUUAAUUGUAAUAAUUCUGAAGUUGGAAUAAAAAAUUAUCAUAAAUUAAAAUUUCAGGACCAAAUUAUCACACGCGUUGUAGUGUAAGGACCAAACGUCCAAUUUAUCCAACUAUGAAUUAUUGAAUUUUGGUUGGUUUUUAGCCGUUCUAAGAGUGCACCGUGCACCAAGUGCAUGCAAUAGUUUCUUUUUUGAGUUGCCCAAUUUAGAAACAUCUGGAUGGGGCGAAAAGUUGCAUCUGACGAAUUUUUUUUUUUAGCCCCUUUUUUUUCUAACAUUAAUUAACUGAUGUGUCGGGGUUUAUGCGCACGCGGUAAAUAAACGAUAAUCAGGGGGUUCUAACAAGUGUGAGGCUACUCUGCCAUCGAAAGGAUGGAGUCUUCCAUGCUUCUAGUUCGUUUUUGAUGUUGCGACUUUCGAAUCGUCGAUCGGCUCCGUAAAACUUGAUCUAGAGUAUUUAAAGUAUCUAGAAAAUAAAUUUUAUGAUUUUUUGAUAUCAUUUGUUUAGUGAUCGAAGGGGUUCAAAAUCAAUAAUUUUAAUGAUCGCAGUGAGCCGUUUGCAAGUUUAACGGUGUAGAAAAAUCCAAAUCACGUGAAAUUUUGAUAGAAAAUUCUUUAUGCUAUAUAAAACAAGAUUAAUAUCUUUGAUCUAAAAUUUUAAUGUCAUAUUAUCACGUUUUGUAAGAUUUUUAUUUUCAGCCGUUGAUUUUGAGCCCCUUCGUUCACUAGGCAAAUAAUAUCAAAAAAUUGCAUAAUUUAUUUUCUAGAUACUUCAAAUACUCUAGAUCAAGUUUAACAGAGCCGAUCGACGAUUCGAAAGUCGCAACAUCGAAAACGAGUUGGAAGCACAGAAGGCUCCGUGCUUCCGAUAGCAUAGUAGCCUUACUCUUCUAAUAAUACCUGAUAUAGAAAAUUCUAAAUGAUGCGAUGAGUGCUGAAUUAAUUGUUACAGAGGACUAUUAUUAUUAUUAGCAAUAAUAAGACUUAAUUGUGGUGUUCUAGUCAAAGAAUAGUUUACCAAAGUAAGAGAAUUACAACUCGAGAAGAAUUCGACAAUUAAUAUUAAUAAUAAUAAUAUAAGAUCUAGUUUAAAUAGUUUGGUAAAUUAUUUACAUUCCUCCGUGCUUAAAUCUUAAAAUUUUAUCCUAGUCAAAUCUCUGUCCCUAGACUACAUUGG
This 2917-nucleotide long non-coding RNA is filed under the name Ananas comosus (pineapple). RNAcentral's name for it is "long non-coding RNA (ACOM_LNC032314)". The record is from RNAcentral. Lineage: Eukaryota; Viridiplantae; Streptophyta; Magnoliopsida; Poales; Bromeliaceae.